UUGAAAGGGAAACGAUUGAAGUCAGUCAUGCCGGUGGGAAUCAACUUAGGGGAAACUCUAGGUGCACUUCUUCGCUUGGCAGGUCAAUGUCGAUUUUGAAUGUCAUAAAAUAAUUGGGGGAAGGUAGCUCCUUCGGGAGUGUUAUAGCCCUUGAUAGAUGUGAUGUUUGGGGUCGAGGAUUGCAACGGAUACCCUCUGGGGCUAGCCGCCUGAUCUCUAAUCGGUGUUGGGUUACGGAUAGCAUGCUGACCGUGAUCUAAUUACUGGUUAAAAGGUUAGAGCGUGCAUAAAUUCGUUAAGGAUGUUGACGUA
Molecule: ribosomal RNA, 312 nt
Filed under: uncultured Glomeromycotina
Lineage: Eukaryota; Fungi; Glomeromycota
Description: LSU rRNA
Source: RNAcentral